Molecule: small nuclear RNA, 103 nt
Filed under: Mandrillus leucophaeus (drill)
Lineage: Eukaryota; Metazoa; Chordata; Mammalia; Primates; Cercopithecidae
Source: RNAcentral
GCGCUUUGGCAGCACAUAUGCUAAAAUUGGAACAAUGCAGAGGAGAUUAACAUGGCCCCUGUGCAGGGAUGACACACAAAUUCAUGAAGCGUUCCAUGUUUUU